UACGGAAGGCAGCAGUGGGGAAUAUUGCACAAUGGGCGCAAGCCUGAUGCAGCCAUGCCGCGUGUAUGAAGAAGGCCUUCGGGUUGUAAAGUACUUUCAGUCGUGAGGAAGGUGUUAAGGUUAAUAACCUUAGCAAUUGACGUUAGCGACAGAAGAAGCACCGGCUAACUCCGUGCCAGCAGCCGCGGUAAUACGGAGGAUGCGAGCGUUAAUCGGAAUUACUGGGCGUAAAGGGCACGCAGGCGGUUAAUUAAGUUGGAUGUGAAAUCCCCGGGCUUAACCUGGGAAUGGCAUUCAAGACUGGUUAGCUAGAGUCUUGUAGAGGGGGUAGAAUUCCAUGUGUAGCGGUGAAAUGCGUAGAGAUGUGGAGGAAUACCGGUGGCGAAGGCGGCCCCUGGGACAAAGACUGACGCUCAUGUGCGAAAGCGUGGGGAGCAAACGAGGAUUAGAUACC
RNAcentral lists this ribosomal RNA (454 nucleotides) under uncultured bacterium. RNAcentral's name for it is "bacterial SSU rRNA". It matches the Rfam family "Bacterial small subunit ribosomal RNA", at positions 340 to 786 of the family's 1533-position model. The record is from RNAcentral.